CUCACCUUCUGGUUUUGAAUAGAGCUAGAGGAGUCAUCAGGAUCAGGUUCCGAUUUUAGAACUGUGGAGUCAGUUCUCAGCUCCAUCUCCACUUCCAUCGUGUUUCCAGAUUCCAAGACGAAUUCACUAGUACCAUCAUCAGGAUCAGGUUCAUUAUCAUGCUCACCAUCGAUCUCCUUGUUAAGCAUGUCAACAUCUGCAGUAUCAUCAGGAUCAGGUUCUAGGCAACCAACAGAGCUUUUCUUGGCAUUCUGCUCUGUAGAUGCUACAAAACCUGCUGAUCCUGAUGUCACAAUUGUUACAUCAAUAGGCAUGGCGUCAUUAUCAUCUGGGUCUGGUUCCGCCUUCACAUUUUCCAGAAUAAAAUCCUCACCAGCAUCAUCCGGAUCAGGUUCUGCUUGUGUACCUUGCACAUUAUAUCUCUCCACAGAUUUAGUAACACUACUGUG
Molecule: long non-coding RNA, 449 nt
Filed under: Hordeum vulgare
Lineage: Eukaryota; Viridiplantae; Streptophyta; Magnoliopsida; Poales; Poaceae
Description: long non-coding RNA (HVUL_LNC018396)
Source: RNAcentral